UAGGGAAUUUUCCACAAUGGACGAAAGUCUGAUGGAGCAACGCCGCGUGCAGGAUGAAUGCCUUCGGGUUGUAAACUGCUUUUAUAUGUGGCGAAUAUGACGGUAGCAUAUGAAUAAGGAUCGGCUAACUCCGUGCCAGCAGCCGCGGUCAUACGGAGGAUCCAAGCGUUAUCCGGAAUUACUGGGCGUAAAGAGUUGCGUAGGUGGCAUAGUAAGUAGAUAGUGAAAGCGUGGGGCUCAACCUCAUAUCCAUUAUCUAAACUGCUAAGCUAGAGGGCGAGAGAGGUAACUAGAAUUCCUUGUGUAGGAGUGAAAUCCGUAGAUAUAAGGAGGAAUACCGAUGGCGUAGGCAGGUUACUGGCUCGUCCCUGACACUAAGGCACGAAAGCGUGGGGAGCAAAC
Molecule: ribosomal RNA, 402 nt
Filed under: uncultured bacterium
Lineage: Bacteria
Description: bacterial SSU rRNA
Rfam family: Bacterial small subunit ribosomal RNA
Source: RNAcentral